UCCCGAGUGCUUGCACUCAAUUGGAAAGAGGAGUGGCGGACGGGUGAGUAACACGUGGGUAACCUACCCAUCAGAGGGGGAUAACACUUGGAAACAGGUGCUAAUACCGCAUAACAGUUUAUGCCGCAUGGCAUAAGAGUGAAAGGCGCUUUCGGGUGUCGCUGAUGGAUGGACCCGCGGUGCAUUAGCUAGUUGGUGAGGUAACGGCUCACCAAGGCCACGAUGCAUAGCCGACCUGAGAGGGUGAUCGGCCACACUGGGACUGAGACACGGCCCAGACUCCUACGGGAGGCAGCAGUAGGGAAUCUUCGGCAAUGGACGAAAGUCUGACCGAGCAACGCCGCGUGAGUGAAGAAGGUUUUCGGAUCGUAAAACUCUGUUGUUAGAGAAGAACAAGGACGUUAGUAACUGAACGUCCCCUGACGGUAUCUAACCAGAAAGCCACGGCUAACUACGUGCCAGCAGCCGCGGUAAUACGUAGGUGGCAAGCGUUGUCCGGAUUUAUUGGGCGUAAAGCGAGUGCAGGCGGUUCAAUAAGUCUGAUGUGAAAGCCUUCGGCUCAACCGGAGAAUUGCAUCAGAAACUGUUGAACUUGAGUGCAGAAGAGGAGAGUGGAACUCCAUGUGUAGCGGUGGAAUGCGUAGAUAUAUGGAAGACACCAGUGGCGAA
This 669-nucleotide ribosomal RNA is filed under the name uncultured Bacilli bacterium. Its description in RNAcentral is "bacterial SSU rRNA". It matches the Rfam family "Bacterial small subunit ribosomal RNA", at positions 70 to 719 of the family's 1533-position model. Lineage: Bacteria; Bacillati; Bacillota; Bacilli. The record is from RNAcentral.